Molecule: non-coding RNA, 149 nt
Organism: Acanthosepion pharaonis
Lineage: Eukaryota; Metazoa; Mollusca; Cephalopoda; Sepiida; Sepiidae
Source: the annotation of a GenBank genome assembly
CUGGACAAGGGAUCACUCAGCUUGUCUGUCGAUGAAGAGCAUGGCCAGUCGUGAGAACUGAUGUGAAUUGCAGGAUUUGGUAAACAUCAACACCUCAAACGCACAUUGCAGCCUCAAGAUUCCUUGUGUUGGGGUCCUGUCCGGUCGAG